This 658-nucleotide long non-coding RNA is filed under the name Nicotiana tabacum (common tobacco). RNAcentral's name for it is "long non-coding RNA (NTAB_LNC009224)". The record is from RNAcentral. Lineage: Eukaryota; Viridiplantae; Streptophyta; Magnoliopsida; Solanales; Solanaceae.
AGCUUAGUUUCAUAUUCACUAUCAUUAUCAUGGCAGCCACUAGUUAGUAUUCAUCUUUAUUUAUCUCUACAUUAUUCUUCCAUAAUAUUGUGUUGGUUAAUAUGUAUAUAUGCACAUCUUUCAUACAAAUAUUGUGUGUUUUAUUAUAUGAUGUUUAAAUGUGGAUUUUUAUUAUUAUGUCGAUGAUUAGUUGAUUAUUUAUGAUUGUGAAAUAUUUCAGUUAAUGUGCCUGGGUUUUCAAAGAAACAAGUUACAGCUACACCAGAUAUUGAUCAUGUAAUCUCAGGACUCAAAAGGAGAGUGCUCCCACAGUUUAAUACUUGUCUCAGAUCGUGUACGUCAGAUAGCGAUUGCAGUGAUUGUUGGAUUUGUUGUGCUUGUGGGCACAAUGCCAUAUAUCCCAAUCAAUUGGUGUGUUCAUCGAAUUUUUAGUAGUGGCAGUGACAAAUUACUAUUAUGCAUUAGUGUGUCUUUGUGUAAUUUCAAUGUUUGUUUGUCUUUUCUUAUUUACUUGUCUUUUAUGCUUUGAAAAAUAAUAAUAAUAAUUGGAUUUGCUAGCUUGUAUCAAAGCUAAGCAUGUCAUUUUCCUUUCCGUUCCCUUUUAUAAGUUGAUAGCUUUAGUUUGGCAAUAUUAUAGAACAUGGAAACAUUAAGAGUA